RNAcentral lists this ribosomal RNA (253 nucleotides) under uncultured bacterium. Its description in RNAcentral is "partial 16S ribosomal RNA". It matches the Rfam family "Bacterial small subunit ribosomal RNA", at positions 524 to 776 of the family's 1533-position model. The record is from RNAcentral.
UACGUAAGGGGCAAGCGUUGUCCGGAUUUAUUGGGCGUAAAGAGCGUGUAGGCGGCCUGACAGGUCUGCUGUGAAAACUCGAGGCUCAACCUCGAGAUGUCGGCGGAAACCGUCUGGCUAGAGUCCGGAAGAGGAGAGUGGAAUUCCUGGUGUAGCGGUGAAAUGCGCAGAUAUCAGGAAGAACACCUAUGGCGAAGGCAGCUCUCUGGGACGGUACUGACGCUGAGACGCGAAAGCGUGGGGAGCGAACAGG